GGGUGAUGUUUUUCCAAAUACUUCAUCUGAACAAUCUUUAGAUUUUCUUUUCCUUGUGGAAGUGAUUCUUUAAUAUCCUUAUCUUAAUGUUCAUAAAAAGACUUUCUGACUGCACCUCUGAGACUUGAUAGCAAGAAAAUGAAACAAAUAUAUGAUCCACAAACUACCAGUCACAAGAUCAUAAUAAUAGCAACUAUAAUUCUUGUUUGAUUGGAAAAGGAAAUUGGAGGGUAGAGUAGCGCCAUUUAUGCAACCACCCACAGUGCCAUCAUCAACAAAGGACUAAAAUAUAUAACUAGCAUGGAUACAAACCAAAUAACGGUAGCAAGCAGAUAAAUAUCACUCAUCAAUGCCAGGAGUACGCCAGACCGGCAGCAGCAAAGGCCUCAACCGGGAAGGUCCUGGUGACCCCAGCAAGGCUCUUGAAGUGGAUCUUCCCGGUGGGCGGGUCGUCAAGGGUGAUCUCAUUGACGUACAGGGGGCCAGAGCAGGAGCUCCUUUGCCUUCACCCCUUUGAGCUUCUUGAUGCGGUGCUUCUCAACAUGGCCAUUGAUCUCGGUGUGAUAGCUCACGAGCUUGCUCACCAUCUUGAAGCUGUGCUCCACCUUCUUCUUCUGGACAAUCCACAUGUAGCCGGUGCUCUUCACGAAGCAUACCUCGACCACG
RNAcentral lists this long non-coding RNA (666 nucleotides) under Elaeis guineensis (African oil palm). Its description in RNAcentral is "long non-coding RNA (EGUI_LNC006604)". The record is from RNAcentral. Lineage: Eukaryota; Viridiplantae; Streptophyta; Magnoliopsida; Arecales; Arecaceae.